UAGUCCACGCCGUAAACGAUGGAUACUAGCUGUUCGAACUUCGGUUUGAGUGGCUAAGCGAAAGUGAUAAGUAUCCCACCUGGGGAGUACGUUCGCAAGAAUGAAACUCAAAGGAAUUGACGGGGGCCCGCACAAGCGGUGGAGCAUGUGGUUUAAUUCGAUGAUACGCGAGGAACCUUACCAGGGCUUAAAUGUAAGUUGCAUAGAUCAGAGAUGGUCUUUUCUUCGGACUACUUACAAGGUGCUGCAUGGUUGUCGUCAGCUCGUGCCGUGAGGUGUCAGGUUAAGUCCUAUAACGAGCGCAACCCCUGUUGUUAGUUGCCAGCGAUUCAAGUCGGGAACUCUAACAAGACUGCCGGUGCAAACCGUGAGGAAGGUGGGGAUGACGUCAAAUCAUCACGGCCCUUACGUCCUGGGCUACACACGUGGUACAAUGGUAGGUACAGAGAGCAGCCACUGCGUGAGCAGGAGCGAAUCUAUAAAACCUAUCACAGUUCGGAUCGGAGU
This 507-nucleotide ribosomal RNA is filed under the name uncultured bacterium. RNAcentral describes it as "bacterial SSU rRNA". It matches the Rfam family "Bacterial small subunit ribosomal RNA", at positions 791 to 1304 of the family's 1533-position model. The record is from RNAcentral.